GAUGAAGAACGCAGCGAAAUGCGAUAAGUAGUGUGAAUUGCAGAAUUCAGUGAAUCAUCGAAUAUUUGAACGCACAUUGCGGCCAUAGGUAUUCCUUUGGCCAUGCCUGUUCGAGCGUCAUUUACACCCUCAAGCGUAGCUUGGUGUUGGGCGCCUGUCCCGCCGUUUUCGCGCGCGGACUCGCCUCAAAGUCAUUGGCGGCGGUCGUGCCGGCCCCCUCGCGCAGCACAUUUGCGCUUCUCGGAGGCCCGGCGGAUCCGCGCUCCAGCAAGACCUUUCACGACUUGACCUCGGAUCAGGUAGGGAUACCCGCUGAACUUAAGCAUAUCAAUAAGCGGAGGA
RNAcentral lists this unclassified non-coding RNA (342 nucleotides) under soil metagenome. Its description in RNAcentral is "partial contains 5.8S ribosomal RNA, internal transcribed spacer 2, and large subunit ribosomal RNA". The stretch from base 1 to 120 matches the Rfam family "5.8S ribosomal RNA", at positions 35 to 154 of the family's 154-position model. The record is from RNAcentral.